This 468-nucleotide ribosomal RNA is filed under the name uncultured bacterium. RNAcentral's name for it is "partial 16S ribosomal RNA". It matches the Rfam family "Bacterial small subunit ribosomal RNA", at positions 28 to 507 of the family's 1533-position model. The record is from RNAcentral.
GACGAACGCUGGCGGCGUGCUUAACACAUGCAAGUCGAACGGAAAGGCCCUGCUUUUGUGGGGUGCUCGAGUGGCGAACGGGUGAGUAACACGUGAGUAACCUGCCCUUGACUUUGGGAUAACUUCAGGAAACUGGGGCUAAUACCGGAUAGGAGCUCCUGCUGCAUGGUGGGGGUUGGAAAGUUUCGGCGGUUGGGGAUGGACUCGCGGCUUAUCAGCUUGUUGGUGGGGUAGUGGCUUACCAAGGCUUUGACGGGUAGCCGGCCUGAGAGGGUGACCGGCCACAUUGGGACUGGGAUACGGCCCAGACUCCUACGGGAGGCAGCGGUGGGGAAUAUUGCACAAUGGGCGGAAGCCUGAUGCAGCAACGCCGCGUGCGGGAUGACGGCCUUCGGGUUGUAAACCGCUGUCGCCUGUGACGAAGCGUGAGUGACGGUAAUGGGUAAAGAAGCACCGGCUAACUACGUG